RNAcentral lists this ribosomal RNA (273 nucleotides) under uncultured bacterium. RNAcentral's name for it is "partial 16S ribosomal RNA". It matches the Rfam family "Bacterial small subunit ribosomal RNA", at positions 524 to 796 of the family's 1533-position model. The record is from RNAcentral.
UACGUAGGUGGCAAGCGUUGUCCGGAUUUAUUGGGUUUAAAGGGUGCGUAGGCGGCCUUAUAAGUCAGUGCUGAAAUAUCCCGGCUUAACCGGGAGGGUGGCAUUGAUACUGUAGGGCUUGAGUAAAGUUGAGGUAGGCGGAAUUGACGGUGUAGCGGUGAAAUGCUUAGAUAUCGUCAAGAACACCGAUAGUGAAGACAGCUUACUAAGCUUUAACUGACGCUGAGGCACGAAAGUGUGGGGAUCAAACAGGAUUAGAAACCCCCGUAGUCC